UGUCGCUUCUGCAAUCUGUCUGGUCUGCAGGCUUAAAGAACAGAAGACCUUCAGGAAACCCGAGCUUCUGAGAGCGAGAUCUGCUUUGGUGGAAAGAAGAUGAGCAACUUUUGAGCAUCUGUAACGCCCAGCUGCUCCCUGGCACUGGGAAGAAACAGUCACAUCACACUGCACAUGUCCAAAAUGGAGCUGAGGACUUUCCUUUGACCCCGGUGCCCCAUCCGAGCUCUCCAUCCUGGUACUCACAGCACCAUCCCCUGUCUGUUCGUGCCUGAAAUAGCACUUAUUUCGCUUCCCCGGUAGCCUGGAGAGCACCACGGGAAAGCGUCGGCUGCCUGAGAGCACAGUGGGUUGGUCUGCACUUUGGCUGAAGGAGGAAACGUGAAUCGGAGAGCUGACUGGUGUUUCCACCAACGUCUCUGUGGAACCUGGUCUGAAGGGCUCUGUCAUCGGCCCAUCGCUGAAAAACUCGCUCAUCAAUGACUUGUCUGACAAUAUAAUAAUAUGAAUCUGACCUCUGGAGUUGGCAGGAAGCUAACGGAUAAGACACAUAUAUGAGAUGAUGCGGUAGGUUCCUCAAAAGAUCUGGACAGGAAAGGUGAUGGAAAUCGAACACGUGAAGUUUAACAGAGGCCACAGAAGUUUUGCGCCUCCUCCCACGGAAACCAAAUAGAGGUCUAAGGUGGGCAUAUGAAACGUUACAGUCGUCGGUCUGCAGAAGAAGGGAGGCUAUUUCCUGAGCCCCCAUUAGCUCUGGCCUGGACCACUUCAGCCACCUCCCAACUUUCACGUGCAUUAUUCUUCUAAUUAGUUCAGUAUUAUAGGGACGUGAAGGAGCUUCUCAAAAUGUGUAUCUUAAGAAACUUAUCCUCAAACAUGUUUUCUUUACUCUUAGCUUCGUUCUAAAGUCUUCAACAUGCCUUCCAAGGUCUCCGUGACAUAUUUCUCCUUACCCUUCCAGCCUCACCUCUGCACCACUCCCUCUCUGGGCCAUUUCGUGCUUGACUGAAGAGACUGUGGUUGUAUUUCUCAGUUACUCAACUCUCUCUCCCUCCACUCUGCUGAACAGCACCCAUGAAUAUUUCGGAGCUUAUCGAAAUGUCAGUUUCUCAGAGAACCAUUACUAGCUUGGGUCCUUUUGCAUCCUUAAUAUUCUGUAACCUCUUUCAGAAGAAAUACACACAGAGUAUGUUGAUUUACUCUGUCUCUCCACGUAGACCACCUAAAAUCUUCGUGGGAUCGAGAACCACGUACAUCUGUUUCUUGUGUCUUGCCUAGUGAAGACGCCAGUGUAUUUAUGGAGUAAAUGUAUUAACAAAUCACACUUUAAGAUGUCCCUACCAUUCAGCGUUAAUGGCGUAGUAGAGCUUGAAGUGGGUAAGGUACUCCUUGGUUUUCAACAAAGUUCGAAGGGCAAGACGUCAAUAAAUAGAAAAACAUUGACUGCUUCUAAGUGAAGAAGACCUUGCAAAUAGAUGCCAUAUUUAUGUGAGCAUUGAUUUGCUUGGUGAGUUAUGGAGCACCUAUAGCCUUAUUACGCAGAUUGCGGUCCACGAACCUGCAGCCUCAGCAGCACAUGGACAGUCGUAAGAAAUGCAGACUCUUGAGUCUCCUCCCAAACCUGCUGAAUCACAAUCUGCAUUUUAACAAGGUCCCCAGGUGAUUACAAGCACAUUAAAAAUUUAGAAGUAUUGAUCCAUAGUAUCUUUAUAUUUAUGCUAUUAGCUAUUGAAAAUUAUUAUUUAAAAAUUUUCAACACAGUCACGCACCGCUCAGUGAUGGGGUACACUCUGGGAAAUGCAUUGUUAGGUGCUUUCAUCAUUGCGGGAACAGUCAUAGAGUGCACUUACACAGACCUAUAUGGUGUAGCCUACUACACAUCUGGGCUGUGUGCUACUAAUCUCAAGGGACCACUGUUGUGUAUGAGGUCCGUCGCUGACCGAAAUGUGAUGUGGUGCAUAACAGUGUAACAGAUAGAGCGCAUCACUGGGAGACAAUAAACUGAAUAACUGAUGGUUGGUUUCCAUCACCCUCCAAUGGGCAUCCCUUAUAAGGAAAUGUACAGACCACAUUUGGCCAUUCUCAAGAUCAGGGCACAAUCAGGAUUUUUCUCUACCAAACAAACAAACAAACAAAACCUUUCAAAGUCGAAUCAGCAGAGAAAGCAGAUGGCAAACAACCUCACAGUUUAAAAUUCCUUCUGCAAGCCCGUGAUGUAUUACAAGCAGCUAGUCUGUAGCCUGCUGUUUGGAAUAUACCUUCGAAACAGACGUUUCUGAAAACCGUGUCAUUUCAGUGACCGAGUUGCUGCGUGCCACCGCAGUCACUGAGACCGACUUCUAAUUAUUUUGGCUUCCUUCCUGUAAAUUACCAGAGAAAAGUCUAACUCCCCAUAUGGUUUGCUGAUACACUAAUAGUCACAAACCAUCUUCAGGUGCAGUUAAUCUCUAGUCAGGUGCUCCGUAUACUGGAGCAACCACUGGUUAAUUUUGUUAGCCAGGAAGAAUUCUACUGUGAAUAAUCUUAUUUGCCUCGUGUGAACGUUCAUCCACGAAUGCAUAUCACAGAGAACACAUUUUAAGUGCUGGCUCCCCAUGAACCUCAUCCCAACACUGGCGAUGGAACUCCGCCAGAGGUCCAGGACUUUGGUCCGAGUUAGUAAUCUGGGACGAGGGGCUUCUUUUUCCCCUGCCAUGUUUCUGCUGCUGUUUUAUUAAGCGUUGCAGAGUGUCCUGUCAACCUCACCCAGAAAGACAUCGCUCUCUCUCCAGAAGUCUUGGAAUCUAAGCCCGUCUGACAGUACAACUCCGACGUGUUUCUAAUAAUCGUUUAGAAGCUCUGUGACAGAAUUCUUUUUCCAUCUGUCAAGAACGAUACACAGGCAUUUUGAUCACUGUCACAAUUUAGAGAGCAGGAAGCUGACAAGAUGUUUCCAAGCGAGCUCUGCCAGGUGUUGGCACAUUCGGGGAGUCACCAUGGAGACAAGUUCUGCUCCUCAAUUUGCUGUGAGUUCCUUGAAAGAAGAGACCGUUUGUGUCUGGUUUGCCUAGCACAGUGACCAGGAUAGAAGAGAUGCUCAAAAAAAAAUUUCUUGAAUGAGUGAAGCAGUGUUAUUUACAGCAGAGAUGGCAGUAAGAAGUCAAGAAAUCAUCCAGAGGAAGAGAAGAAAUCUCGACUUAAAAUCAAGUUUGCUUAAUUUUGAAAUGGAAAUGGGAAAAAUGCCUACAGGGGUUUUAAUCACCCAAAACAACAGAAGUCAAGUCACAGUUCAGCAUAUGGGCAAAGGAGGACACGGUCCCACUGAAUAAACUGAAGGGGUGAUGUUCAAGAGGCUCUCUACUACAAGUAUGAAAU
This 3354-nucleotide long non-coding RNA is filed under the name Equus caballus (horse). Its description in RNAcentral is "lncRNA (ENSECAG00000059098.1)". The record is from RNAcentral. Lineage: Eukaryota; Metazoa; Chordata; Mammalia; Perissodactyla; Equidae.